This 501-nucleotide ribosomal RNA is filed under the name uncultured bacterium. RNAcentral describes it as "bacterial SSU rRNA". It matches the Rfam family "Bacterial small subunit ribosomal RNA", at positions 28 to 507 of the family's 1533-position model. The record is from RNAcentral.
GACUAACGCUGGCGGCGUGCCUAACACAUGCAAGUCGAACGAGUUGUAUAUAGUAGCAAUAUUGUAUACGGCAAGUGGCGAACGGGUGAGUAACACGUAGAUAAGUCUGCCUUUCAGACGGGGACAACUCAGGGAAACUUGUGCUAAUACCCGAUGAGACUACGAGGGGGGACUUUCGUAGCCAAAGGUGGGGGCAACCUCACGCUGAAAGAUGAGUCUGCGUCCUAUCAGCUGGUUGGUGGGGUAAAAGCCUACCAAGGCGAAGACGGGUAGCCGGCCUGAGAGGGUGAACGGCCACACUGGGACUGAGACACGGCCCAGACUCCUACGGGAGGCAGCAGUGAGGAAUUUUCCGCAAUGGGCGCAAGCCUGACGGAGCGACGCCGCGUGAGGGAUGACGGCCUUCGGGUUGUAAACCUCUUUUAUUAGGGAAAAAGACAUUUGUGCUAAUACCACGGAUGUUUGAUUGUACCUGUUGAAUAAGCCCCGGCUAACUACGUG